Molecule: ribosomal RNA, 853 nt
Filed under: uncultured bacterium
Lineage: Bacteria
Description: bacterial SSU rRNA
Rfam family: Bacterial small subunit ribosomal RNA
Source: RNAcentral
AGCGUCGGGCUACCAUGCAGUCGAGCGAGGCCCUUCCUUCGGGGGGGUGUUCUAGCGGCGAACGGCUGAGUAACACGUGGGCAACCUGCCCUCAGCUCUGGGAUAACUCCAAGAAAUUGGGGCUAAUACCGGAUAUGACCGCUGACCGCAUGGUCUGGUGGUGGAAAGAUUUAUCGGCUGGGGAUGGGCCCGCGGCCUAUCAGCUUGUUGGUGGGGUAGUGGCCUACCAAGGCGACGACGGGUAGCCGGCCUGAGAGGGUGACCGGCCACACUGGGACUGAGACACGGCCCAGACUCCUACGGGAGGCAGCAGUGGGGAAUAUUGCGCAAUGGGCGGAAGCCUGACGCAGCGACGCCGCGUGGGGGAUGACGGCCUUCGGGUUGUAAACCUCUUUCAGCAGGGACGAAGCCGUGAGGUGACGGUACCUGCAGAAGAAGCACCGGCCAACUACGUGCCAGCAGCCGCGGUAAUACGUAGGGUGCAAGCGUUGUCCGGAAUUAUUGGGCGUAAAGAGCUCGUAGGCGGUCUGUCACGUCGGCUGUGAAAUCCCGAGGCUCAACCUCGGGUCUGCAGUCGAUACGGGCAAACUAGAGUAUUGCAGGGGAGACUGGAAUUCCUGGUGUAGCGGUGAAAUGCGCAGAUAUCAGGAGGAACACCGGUGGCGAAGGCGGGUCUCUGGGCAAUAACUGACGCUGAGGAGCGAAAGCGUGGGGAGCGAACAGGAUUAGAUACCCUGGUAGUCCACGCCGUAAACGUUGGGCGCUAGGUGUGGGGCUCAUUCCACGAGUUCCGUGCCGCAGCUAACGCAUUAAGCGCCCCCCCUGGGGAGUACGGGCGCAAGGCUAAAACUCA